AUUGAACGCUGGCGGCAUGCCUUACACAUGCAAGUCGAACGGCAGCAUGGGAGCAAUCCUGGUGGCGAGUGGCGAACGGGUGAGUAAUAUAUCGGAACGUGCCCAACCGUGGGGGAUAACGUAGCGAAAGCUACGCUAAUACCGCAUACGAUCUACGGAUGAAAGCGGGGGAUCGCAAGACCUCGCGCGAUUGGAGCGGCCGAUAUCAGGUUAGCUAGUUGGUGAGGUAAAGGCUCACCAAGGCGACGAUCUGUAGCUGGUCUGAGAGGACGACCAGCCACACUGGAACUGAGACACGGUCCAGACUCCUACGGGAGGCAGCAGUGGGGAAUUUUGGACAAUGGGCGCAAGCCUGAUCCAGCAAUGCCGCGUGCAGGACGAAGGCCUUCGGGUUGUAAACUGCUUUUGUACGGAGCGAAACGGUCUUCUCUAAUACAGGGGGCUAAUGACGGUACCGUAAGAAUAAGCACCGGCUAACUACGUGCCAGCCGCCGCGGUAA
Molecule: ribosomal RNA, 500 nt
Filed under: uncultured bacterium
Lineage: Bacteria
Description: partial 16S ribosomal RNA
Rfam family: Bacterial small subunit ribosomal RNA
Source: RNAcentral